GCAAGGGGGAAACCCUAAAUUCUGCAAAUUAGCUAAAUUGAAAGGGGAUUCAAGGCCAAAUCACAUGCAUGAACUCGAAACCUUAACCAUCUAAGCUAGUACAACAAGCGGCGUUAAGGAAGAAAGUUCGAGUCAAGUGAAGCAACAAGGGAAUCAAGACCGAGGCGUUAAGGAAGAAAGUUCGAGUCAAGUGAAGCAACAAGGGAAUCAAGACCGAGGUAAAUCUCAUGUCUAGCUAUCAAGCUUCGCCCGGUUCGAACACGCCUCAAGCCCGUCAAGCGUUCCGCAUUUUGUAAAAGUCAAUGUUUAAAACUUUGUCACUUAUGUUUUCGUCUAGUACAUAAACCUAGUUUUCAUUAUGUUGUCUUUUGGAAAACUUGUCGUAAGUACGUACAUAAACUCAAUGGUUUCGUAAGUAAAACAUGGUAUGUUUUGACGUGU
Long non-coding RNA from Helianthus annuus (common sunflower), 441 nucleotides. RefSeq lists it as uncharacterized. The transcript has 4 exons. The record is from RefSeq and is a predicted model, not a curated record. Lineage: Eukaryota; Viridiplantae; Streptophyta; Magnoliopsida; Asterales; Asteraceae.